Molecule: long non-coding RNA, 900 nt
Organism: Bubalus bubalis (water buffalo)
Lineage: Eukaryota; Metazoa; Chordata; Mammalia; Artiodactyla; Bovidae
Exons: 5
Source: RefSeq, a predicted model, not a curated record
UCGCACAACCAACACUUCAAAAGUUGAACGAAUUGGUCUACGAAGUUUUGCCUCAUCCACCAUAUUCACCUGAUCUCUCACCAUUCAACUACCACUUCUUCAAGCAUCUUGACAACUUUUAGUAGAGAAAAUGCUUCCAUACCCAGCAGGAGGCAGAAAAUGCUUUCCAAGAGUUCAUUGAAAUUCAAAGCAUGGAUAUGUAUGCUACAGGAAUAAACAAACUUAUCUCUGAUUGGAAAAAUGUGUUGAUUGUAAUGGCUCCUAUUUUGAUUUGUCUGAGCCUAGUUAUAAUGAUUUAAAUCCAUGAUCUGAAACUGCAAUUACAUUUGUACCAACCUAAUACCUAUAUAUACAUAAGAUCCUAUUGGUUCUCUUUCUCAGGAGAACCCUGACUAAUGCGAAGGGGAUAUAAUUUGUGUCCUUACUUCCUAGAUCUUCAAUUGAAAGGAACUAUAUUCAAGGAGUUGUACCCAAGGAAGUACACUAGCUUUUAUUAUUGGACUUUAUCUUGUAAGCCAAUGUGUGACUCUUUGUCUUUUGUCAGAGAGAUGUCCAAGGACUUUAUUGAUUGAUUCUAGGGGAUGUUGCUUGUUUCUAACAUUUUAAUCAUAAAUGCAGCGUCUGAAUGGCUCUCCAACCCUGGGAGGGAAGAUGCUAUAUGUAGUGACUGAGCUCUCAGCUGUCUUCUCAAUGGCAACGGAAUUCUCUGAUGAGUUUAAAAGCUAAAGCCAAGCCAGGAAGAGGAAGACAAGAUGAGGAACCCCAAAUCAAGAUCUUCCAUAUUUGUUCCUGAAAAUAUUGAAGGUCUGAAAAAUGCUGCUGGAACUAGAGUUGAAGCUCCAAAAAUAUACUCACUUCACUCAGCUGUGAUGCCAUGGACUGUAACCUGCCAGGCUUCUU